GAGAAGAACGUAGUGAAAUGCGAUAAGUAAUGUGAAUUGCAGAAUUCAGUGAAUCAUCGAAUCUUUGAACGCACAUUGCGCCCCUUGGUAUUCCGAGGGGCAUGCCUGUUCGAGCGUCAUUAUAACCCCUCAAGCUCAGCUUGGUGUUGGGGCCUGCUGCACUGGCAGCCCUUAAAAUCAGUGGCGGCGCCAUCUGGCUCUAAGCGUAGUAAUUCUUCUCGCUAUGGAGUCCUGGUGGAUGCUUGCCAUCAACCCCCAAUUUUUCUAUGGUUGACCUCGGAUCAGGUAGGGAUACCCGCUGAACUUAAGCAUAUCAAUAAGCGGAGGA
RNAcentral lists this unclassified non-coding RNA (328 nucleotides) under soil metagenome. Its description in RNAcentral is "partial contains 5.8S ribosomal RNA, internal transcribed spacer 2, and large subunit ribosomal RNA". The stretch from base 3 to 119 matches the Rfam family "5.8S ribosomal RNA", at positions 38 to 154 of the family's 154-position model. The record is from RNAcentral.